RNAcentral lists this ribosomal RNA (321 nucleotides) under uncultured bacterium. RNAcentral describes it as "bacterial SSU rRNA". It matches the Rfam family "Bacterial small subunit ribosomal RNA", at positions 583 to 902 of the family's 1533-position model. The record is from RNAcentral.
UUAAGCUAGAUGUGAAAGCCCCGGGCUCAACCUGGGAACUGCCUUUCAAACUGGUAAACUAGAGUGGGAGAGAGGGAGGUAGAAUUUCAGGUGUAGCGGUGAAAUGCGUAGAGAUCUGAAGGAAUACCGAUGGCGAAGGCAGCCUCCUGGGUCAAUACUGACACUCAUGUACGAAAGCGUGGGGAGCAAACAGGAUUAGAUACCCUGGUAGUCCACGCCGUAAACGAUGUCUACUAGAAGGUCGGAACCUCCGGUCCUGUUUUUAAAGCAAAACCAUUAUUUACACCGCCUGGGGAGUACACGGCCGAAAGUCUAAAACUC